Molecule: RNA transcript, 4333 nt
Organism: Lytechinus pictus (painted urchin)
Lineage: Eukaryota; Metazoa; Echinodermata; Echinoidea; Temnopleuroida; Toxopneustidae
Gene name: cyclin-D-binding Myb-like transcription factor 1
Exons: 15
Source: RefSeq, a predicted model, not a curated record
UUUUUCAACUUUUGUGCGCCCAUGUUGGAUUGUCGUCUGGCUCCAAAACCUGAGAGCAAUUCUGCAAUUAUUUUGGUGGAAUUCAAGUUGGAAUGGCACUGUUACAGACAUUACAGGAAGUUUCAGACAAAGAUUGUGAUCACACUGGGAGCAUUCAUAUUUACUCCAACACACACGAAACCCAAGCUCUGGAGCUUCAUGUAGAUAGAGACCAGGUGGUUAGUGCCGUGGGCCUCAUGCCUUCAACGUCAGGCAAUCAGAUGGAGAUUGGAGUACAGGAAUCAGAUGUCAGACAUAUUGGGUUACCGGUUCACUCUGAUGAUGGCAGCAAUAUUGAUCAAUCCUGCAUUGUAGUUGUGCCUGUUGAAAGUGUAGAAGAUGGCCAUGGACAUUGUUUAGAUAAGGGUUUUCAGCUGAGUGCACCUACUGAUGUCCCAGUAUCAGGGAGCUCCAAUUCUAUGGGGAUGACUGGGGUAGAACAACGGAAAGAGCCAGAAACACCUUAUGAUCCUGUGACUCAAUCAUGGUUUACCACAAAAUAUUCCAAAGACUCACUGUCAGAACGAGGUCAUAAAUGGAAGCAAGGAAUGUGGUCAAAUGAUGAAAUUGAGCUCCUUGAAAGGAACAUUGAGGAGUAUGUCAGAGACCAUAAUCUAAAGGAUGCCACUGAGGUCAUUUUUAAUAAUAGCAAGGACAACAGGAAGAAUUUUUAUCGCAGCAUAGCCCAAGGGUUGCAGCGACCCCUCUUUGCUGUUUACCGACGGGUCAUUCGGAUGUAUGAUCAGAAAAAUCAUGUUGGAAGGUACACUCCAGAAGAUAUUGUAAAACUGAAAGAGCUAAGAGCCAAGUAUGGGAAUGACUGGGCUUCCAUUGGAGCUGAGAUGGGUCGAAGUGCUUCUUCAGUUAAAGAUAAAUUCAGACUUCUCAAAGAUUCUUGCAAUAGAGGUAAAUGGACAGCUAGCGAAGAGAAACUGUUGUCUAGUGCUGUAUUUGCCCUAUCUGGAGCUGAACCUGGUGAGAGUGUGACAACUGGUAUCUCUUGGUCCCAGGUAGCUGAUAAAGUCGGAACUAGAACAGAGAAACAGUGCAGGGCUAAGUGGCUGAACUACCUCAACUGGAAACAAAAAGGAGGCUCAAAAUGGACACUAAUGGAUGAGCUUACAUUGAUCAAUAGGGUUGAUGAAACAGGAGUUGAAGUAGACACCGAUAUAGAUUGGGAGAAUAUUGCUAAGAACUGGGAGAGUGUGAGGUCACCUCAGUGGCUUCGAUCAAAAUGGUGGAAUCUGAAGAGGCAGGUUAUUGAUACAGAUUUUAAAACGUUAAUCCAGCACCUGAGAUUAUUCAACGAUAGACGCAGAUUCCAAGAAGAGAAACGUAAGGGGGUUAUUCCGCCUCUAAAACCGGAAAAGAAUCAAACCAAGAAUGGAACCUUAAUGGUACAAGUCCCUAUUCAACUUGGAUCAUCUUCAGGUGAUGGAAUGGAUGAUGGCUCAGGACUUCAACCAUUAAUACUACGUCAAUCAGCCCUUGCCCAUUUACCAGGUACAAGUUCUCUCUUUAUGAGUGAGGGUAUGACUACCGUACACUCUGAUAAUCAUAUCAUCAUACAAGUCACUGGUGUACAGGGGCAUGACGGAGAGGUUGAAGGAACAGAUGGAAACACAAGGCAGAUCAUUAUCACAGCACGACAGCCUCGGCAAACAGUGCCCUCUCUAGGUCAAGAUAUUUCAACUGACAUACACCAAACAAGUACAGGUAAGCUUGGUGUAUUAUGUCCAUGUCAAUGUUAGGAGAUUGAUAAACCAAGAGAGAAAACUUAUCAAAUUGCAAUUAAGCAUUUUGUUAAGCAAUAUGAAAUAGAAAUAGGUGGCAAUUUCUCAUGCAAGGUGAAUUUUGAUUGUACUUUGUAAUAUUUUAAACCAAAUUGUCCUUGCUCAUAACUUUAUUUUAUCACAGGUGAUACCAGUAUGUGUAUUAUGAAGUAAAAUGAUAUUCAGAAAUCUAUUAAUAAAAAAAAUAAGCCCGCAAGUUUAGAUAGAGUAUGCAAAACUGAUGGGAUAAAAUCUAUUUUUAUUGAGAAAAUAACUUUUCAUGAUAAAAAUGUUAUACAAUGCCUGUUGAAAAGCAAUUUUCAAACUUUCCCCAUAUUUCAUACAAAUCUGUAUCUAUACCCCAACAAGGGGACCACAUUUUAUAUUUUUGCUCCAAUAACUUUUGAUGCAAUACUUCUCAAAAUUUAUGAAAUACAUCUGGAGUAUAAGAAAAGUUCUUCUGCACAUACUGUGCUCGUUUUUAUUACAUCAGUAUUUUUCGUUAUAGAUUAAGAAAAAUAAAAAUGUAUUUCUGAAAUCCUUGGAAUUGCAACAUGUUUGAAACAUGAAAAUUGUUUGCUUGCACAAAUUCUACUCUAUUGGUAUUGAUAUAUGUAAAUAAAAGCCCAUGGAAUGGGAUCAUAUAUUUUAAAGCCAGGAGGCACUCUCUUGCAGGUUAUAUUUGGAAUUGAAUAGCUCCCCCUGUUGUUAAGCUGCAUAAAAUCAGUGAUUUUCCUAAUCAAGAUGUUUUUCAUGUGUACAUGUAUGUGUUUGUUUGUGUAAUGUCGAUUCAAGUAGAUAAUUGUUUUGAAAAACAGGAAGAAUUGCUUAUUAUCGCCCCCUCCCCUUUUUUGGUAUUAAAGCUGCACUGUGUAGUAAGGGAAAAGUAUAAACAGAGCCAAUCUGACCUUUGCAGUAGAUUAAGCGUCUUUUCUGGAGUUUUUCCCCCAAAUACAAUUACAUUUAUAUGCUUUGUAUUUCAGUAAAAAAAAGAAGAGGUUUUGACAAAAUAUAUGAGAGCUCAUCAGCAGUGUCAUCAUUUGAUCAUUAAAUGGACAUAGUUAUGUCUUUAAAAUCAAAGGAAGCGAUAAUGUUUUUCUUCAGUACCUUUUUAACAAAAUUAAUUUCCAUGGCUUUGCUGCAUGCUGGAUUUGAUAGGGGAUUUCCCAGGUCCCAUAUUCUUUUGUCAAUCCAGAAAUAAGUAGAUUCUAAUGAAGACACACCACCUUAAAGCCAGUGUUAAAUUUAGCACAGACUUUGUGAAGGUACCUUCCAUUUUUUUUUCAUUUAUUAUGAAAUGACUUCUUCACUAGAUACCCGAGAGUGAAACACAUUUAGUCAUUUCUGCAAGAUCUGUGGACUCAUCAAAAAUCACAUGGCCAUAUCUAAUUUAAGACCUAGACAUCGCAUGUCACUGUCAUACCGAUAAAAAUAUUGCUUAAGGUUUUAUAUUCAAUAUUGUGUAGGAGAUAUUGAUCUUUUCAGCUGCAUGUGAUUUAAAUCAUGACACAACCACAUUCUGUGACUACAUUGUUUGAGUAGAAUCCUGUGGGGGUGUGAUUAUCAUUAGUCGACUUCCAUAAUAAUGCAAAGGAUGGCAAAGAAUGAGUGUGCAGUCCUACUUGGAUUUCCUCAUAUUGCUUCAGAUUGAGCUACUUAAAUGCAAAGUGAUGGAUGAAAACUUGUGAGUCAGAAGCUACUGUGUGGAUGUGGGAGCAGGAGACUAUUGCUGAUUGUCAACAUCAUCUUUUACCCCCUUUAUUUACAAAUUGGGAGUCAUUAAAUCAAGAACAUUCCAACAAACUAACUUUGCUACUGAGAUUACCAGAUCAAAAACUCUUUAUGGAAACCUUGAUCUUUGAUUUGCUGUUUAGCCUCAUACCUAUGGUAGAAAUAGGCCUGUGGUAUGGUAGUAAUAGGCCAUUAGGCUUAUGGCAAAUUUACUGUAAGUUCAUGUAUAAGAAUUUUUCUUAUUGAAGAGGCUUUUCUUCUGAUUUAACCUUGAUUAGAUCAUAUUUGCAAAAUCUUGUUUGGGUUCGUUGGUGUUAUUGACAUGACAAGAAUAACGGUAACUUUUUCUUUUGUAGAGGAGUAGAGAUAAUUCUUGGUUAUAAACAACUCAUCUUAAUUUUGAUUUUACAACUAUUUUGUAAAAUCAAGAACAAUAUAUCUGCAAAUGUUCAGUCAAGUUGUCCUUAUUUGGUUCCAGGAGAACACUGCCAUUUCACACCAGUGUACAUCUAGACUACUUUUAUGAACCUUCCUGAAUUGGUUAGGUCAUUUGAAUUGGUAUAUAAUUUAUGAUUCACAUUUCAUUCACAAGAGAGAAGAAUGGCAUUGUAAAUAUUCAUUGAUUGAAAAUAAUUCAUCUAAUAGGGUCCAUGUACAUUAUGUGAUUAAAUUAUCCAAGAUAAGAUAAAAUGCUGAUAAAAUCUUUUAUUUUCUAAAUUUGUGGGUGGGGAGGGGAGGAGUGGGUAGAGAGAGAGAGAGGGGGGGGGAGGCAUGGAGGUAGGGAGGGAGGU